AAUUGAUUAUCUUUACACUAAUCUACAUAAAAUCUUACACGUUAAUUAUUGUAGCGUUGUAAUUUUAGGCUUCCAACGUUUAUUUGUGGUAAACUGACUGGAAGACCUCAAAUUGACUCGUCGUCCCACGAUGCACUAGUUUUCAUUAUUGUGCAUUCAGCUAAACAUCCGGGCUAUGUGUGGUAUUGUGGGGGAAGAUGGCGACACGUAUCGUCCCUGCUGAUUGGAUCAAAAACUGGGAGAAAUCUGGAAAACACGAGUUUGUACAACUAUGUAAGAAUCUUGCAUACAAAACAAAUCAUGACAGCACAAUAAAAGAUAUACAGGCAGCUUUGUAUGAACUCUGCUGGCAUGUCAUACAGGGGAACUUCAAGCUGGACCUUUCUGCUAGCGUCCUCUGUGACAUGAUGGAUCUGCGGGAUGACAUGCCAUCCAUUUUAGCAGAUGUUUUCAGUAUACUAGACAUAGAGACCAGCUCUUUAGAGGAAAAAAACAAACGUGACCAUUACACCCAGCUAGUGGGAGCGUGUCUGUUCUUUGUGCCAGAUGCCAUCCUGAAGGAGAGGCUGGACCCAGAGACCCUGGAGUCCCUGGGACUCAUAAAGCAAGCUCAUCAGUUCAACCAGAAAAUCGUUAAAAUCAAGACCAAACUAUUUUACAAGCAGCAGAAAUUCAACUUGCUGAGGGAAGAGAAUGAGGGCUAUGCCAAGCUGAUCACUGAGCUGGGCCAAGAUCUCUCAGGCAACAUCACUAGCCACAUCGUCCUAGAGAGCAUCAAGUCCCUAAUAGGAUGCUUCAAUCUGGACCCCAACCGCGUUCUGGACAUCAUCCUGGAGGUGUACGAGUGUCGCUCUGACCAAGACGAGUUCUUCCUGCCCCUCAUCAAGUCCUAUAUGUGUGAACCCCUCACCCUCUGCCACAUCCUGGGCUUCAAGUUCAAGUUCAACCAGGAGCCAAAUGAGGAGACUCCCACGUCACUCUACCACAUCGCUGCCGCCCUCUUGCAUCACAACCUUAUAGAGCUGGAGGACAUCUAUGUGCACCUGAUGCCACUGGAUGCCAGCAUUGUAGAGGAGCACAAGAGAGAAAUCACAGAGGCCAAGCAGAUCGCCCGCAAGCUCACCAUGGUGGUGGUGCCCUCCGAGAAGACUGAAGACAAGGAGAGAGAGAAGGAGGAAGAGAAGAAUGACAAGGCUCCUGAUAACCAGAAGCUGGGUCUGUUGGAAGCGCUGCUGAGGAUCGGAGACUGGCACCAUGCCCAAAGCAUUAUGGACCAGAUGCCCUCCUUCUACGCCACCUCUCACAAGGCCAUUGCUCUGGCGCUGUGCCAGCUGCUGCAUCUGACUGUGGAGCCACUCUACCGCAGAGCCGGGGUCCCCAAAGGGGCCAAGGGAUGUUUGUUGAGGCCCCUGAAGAACAAGCGGGCCCCCAGGCCUGCAGAGAGCUUUGAGGACCUGCGCAGGGAUGUGUUCAGCAUGCUCUGCUACCUGGGGCCCCACCUCUCCCAUGACCCCAUCCUUUUUGCCAAGAUCGUACGCCUGGGCAAGGGCUUUAUGAAAGAGUACCAAAGUGAGGGUAGAAAUGACAACGUCAAGGACAAAAUGGACACAUUGCUGAGUUGUUUCCUGAGCAUUGCAGACCAGGUGCUGCUGCCCUCGCUCUCUCUCAUGGAGUGUAACGCCUGCAUGUCAGAGGAGCUGUGGGGCCUCUUCAAACUCUUCCCCUACCAGCACAGGUACCGGCUAUACGGGCAGUGGAAGAAUGAGACCUACACAAGCCACCCACUUCUGGUCAAGGUCAAAGCUCAGACUGUGGACAGAGCCAAAUACAUCAUGAAGCGAUUAACCAAAGAGAAUGUGAAACCAUCUGGGCGCCAAAUAGGCAAGCUGAGCCAUAGCAACCCCACCAUCCUCUUUGACUAUAUCCUGUCUCAGAUCCAGUGGUAUGACAACCUCAUCGGUCCAGUGGUAGACUCCCUUAAAUACCUCACCUCACUCAACUAUGACGUCAUGGCUUAUUGCAUAAUUGAAGCGCUGGCAAAUCCAGAGAAGGAGAAGAUGAAGCAUGAUGACACUACGAUCUCCUCCUGGCUUCAGAGCCUGGCCAGUCUGUGUGGAGCGGUAUUCAGGAAAUACCCAAUUGAGUUAGCUGGCCUCCUCCAGUAUGUGACCAAUACGCUGAAAGCAGGGAAGAGUUUUGACCUGUUGAUUCUGAAAGAGGUGGUGCAGAAGAUGGCCGGGAUCGAGAUCACUGACGAGAUGACAUCAGAGCAGAUGGAAGCUAUGACUGGAGGGGAGCAGCUCAAAGCAGAGGGUGGUUACUUUGGUCAGAUCCGUAACACUAAGAAGUCGUCCCAGCGUCUAAAGGAUGCCCUGUUGGACCAUGAUCUGGCCCUGCCCCUCUGUCUCCUCAUGGCCCAGCAACGCAACGGAGUGGUCUUUCUGGAGGGGGGUGAGAAACACCUCAAACUGGUGGGAAAGCUGUACGACCAGUGUCACGACACCCUGGUGCAGUUUGGUGGCUUCCUGGCCUCCAACCUGAGUACUGAGGACUACAUCAAGCGUGUUCCCUCCAUUGACAUCCUCUGUAACCAGUUCCACACGCCCCACGAUGCUGCCUUCUUCCUCUCACGCCCCAUGUAUGGACAUCAGAUCCUGUCUAAGUAUGAUGAGCUGAAGAAAGCUGAGAAGAGCAACCGGCAGCAGCAGAAGGUCCAUAAGUACGUGGCUGCGUGCGAGCUGGUGAUGUCGCCGGUGCAUGAGGCCGUGGUGUCCCUGCACCCACCCCGUGUCUGGGACGACCUCCGACCCCAGUUCUACGCCACCUUCUGGUCGCUGACCAUGUACGACCUGGCCGUGCCACACAACGCCUACGACCGCGAGGUGAAGAAGCUCCAGCUCCAGGUGCAGGUCAUCGAGGAGAACCCUGAUGUGCCAAUGAACAAGAAGAAGAAGGAGAAGGAGCGCUGCACGGCCCUACAGGAGAAGCUGCAGGAGGAGGAGAAGAAGCAGCUGGAGCACGUCCAGAGGGUCCUGCACCGCCUCAAACUGGAGAAGGACAACUGGCUCCUCGCUAAAUCCACCAAGAAUGAGACCAUCACUAAGUUCCUGCAGCUGUGUCUGUUUCCUCGUUGUAUCUUCUCUGCCAUCGACGCUGUGUACUGCGCCCGCUUUGUGGAGCUGGUGCACCAGCAGAAGACCCCCAACUUCUGCACCCUGCUCUGCUAUGACCGGGUGUUCUCUGACAUCAUCUACACGGUGGCCAGCUGCACGGAGAACGAGUCGCGACGCUACGGCCGCUUCUUGUGCUGCAUGUUGGAGACGGUGACCCGUUGGCACAGUGACCGAGCUGUCUACGAGAAGGAGUGUGGUAACUACCCAGGCUUCCUGACCAUUUUCAGAGCCACAGGCUUUGACGGAGGGAACAAAGCAGACCAGCUGGACUAUGAGAACUUCAGACAUGUAGUGCACAAAUGGCACUACAAGCUGACUAAAGCAUCAGUCCACUGCUUGGAGACGGGGGAAUACACCCACAUCCGGAACAUCCUGAUCGUGCUGACCAAAAUCCUGCCCUGCUACCCCAAAGUGCUGAAUCUGGGCCAGGCACUCGAGUGCCGUGUCCACAAGAUCUGUCUGGAGGAGAAGGAGAAGAGGCCAGACCUCUAUGCCUUGGCCAUGGGCUAUUCUGGCCAGUUGAAAGGCAGGAAGGCGCACAUGGUUCCUGAGAAUGAGUUCCACCACAAGGAGCAGCCGGUGAGGAGCGCCACCCCUGUCAGCCAGCAAAACGGCCCUGGCACCACGGCCAAGCCUGCCACCAACGCCAGCAAGACGGAGGAGGGCGUCAGUGAGGACGCCGAUCGAGCCAAGGAUAAAUCUCAGGGUGCAGCGAAGCCAGCGAACAAAGCCAACAGCACAGCGGCCAAAGUGACCACCAGCAACGGGAAUGGGGCUCCUAACAGCACCAAAACCAUCAAAGAGAGGGAUGACAAAGAAAAGAGUGGGAAGGAGAAAAAAGAGAAAAAGGAGAAGACUCCAGGCAGCACUCUAGAGACGAAGGGGGAGAGCCGGCGGGAGAAGCAGAGAGACGAGAGAGGAGCAGGCGGCAAGGAGGAGCGGGCGCCACGCGAGGGUAAGGAGAAGACGCCCAAGGCAGACCGGGACAAGCAGAAGGUGGAAGAGAAGAGCAACAAAGAGGACAACAAGGCCAAGACCGGCAACGGAGAGCCCAAGGAGCCAUCCAGGGAACGCGACACCGGAGCCAAGGAGUCUAAGAGCAAAGAGAAGGGAGGAGACAGGAGUGCCAUGUCCGGAUCCCUCAAGUCUCCAGUUCCCCGAUUGGAGUCUGCUGAAUCUGAGAGGGAUCACAAAAGGCGAAAACUGGAGACCCACUCUUCACCAUCCCAUUCCUCCUCUGUUAAGGACAAUAGCAACGAACCCAAGGACUCUGCAUCCAAGCACCACAUCAACUACAAUUCGGUCGCGCGGUCCAAGAGCAGAGAGAGAGAGACGGACAAGAAAGAGUCUGAGAAUACCCGGGGCCGUUCCAAAGAGAAGAAGACCGAUGACAAAGACCGAAAGGACAGGAAGAGAGAGCAUAUGACCACUGACCGUGAGAUGAGCCUAGAAUCCAAACGCAGAAAAGAUGAAAAUGGAACCAAUUCCUCCAACAAACACAGCAAGAGCGCCAGUCCUUCCUCAGGCUCCCCAGUCUCGGCUGACAAAGAGAAGACCAAGAGAUCAAAGUCCUCUAGCAAGGAGAAGGGAGAGUCUGCUAAACCUGAGAGAAACUCCUCCGGGGGCAAGAAGGAGUCUAGGCACGACAAAGAAAAAUCUGACAAGAAGGAGAAGAGGGACAGCAGUGGUGGAAAGGAUGAGAAAAAACAAUAUCCUUAAGUUCUGGUUUUUCCUUAAUGGUGGUACUCAUAAGUCUUCUGACAAGCACAGAUAAUGUGUUACAGUUCAGUCAGUGAAGCAGACCUGGAGAAGCCGUGCUUUCCCCUAGACAGACAGACGGAGAGACAGACAGUUACCCUCCCUCCUGUACCAUGCUGUUAGCUAGUGCUCCGUUUUCUCUGCCUUGUGCAGUCUGAGAUGAGGCAUCUGAAAUUUUACUCAUUUCUGCCUGUUUCAGUUGUAACUGUCUGCAAGUGAUGUUAGUUUUAGUGUUUGAAACUUGCAGAUCUCCUUUAUUUUUUAUUUCAGUAACCAACUGAAAGUGAGUUUUUGUUUUUUACUUUUGAAUAUUGGCACAAUGUGCUAUUCAAAUCACGAAAUGUUAUUCUAUUCAGAAAUUAAACUGGUAACUGAAUGAAAUGCUCUCGAAAGCAUCAGGUCAUACAGUCGAUAAUCACAAAUGCCUCAUGAAAAAAAUGUAUCUGUUUCUUGUUGUCAGGCUCCUCCCCUCUUUCUUGUUUUAUUGGCAUUAAUAGACACGCUCCAUAUUUGCAUUUACCUCAUUUAGUUACAUGUCUAUUUUAUUUAUCCUCCUUUUAAUCCAGGCAAGUCUUUAGGCAUGUAUUGAGUGAAAUGAUACAAAUGACCAGUUUGUAUAUUAUGUGUACAAUAAUAAAGGUAACAUGUAAGUCAUAUCUGUUAUGUUUAUUUUUCGAUGUCCCCUUGCUAUGUCCAUUAUGCGAUUGUGUUAUCAGGUUUUUAAAUCAUUUGUAAAAUGACAGUUCCUCCUUGAAGCCAAUAAAAAGAAAUGUACAAAUUUAGAAAGCUUUGUACUCCAAAUACAAAUGUUUCAGAAACAACCUUUUUUGGAGUUUUUAUCUGCUGUACUCGACAAGUGUAUGCUUUUUUUAACUAAUAAAUGAUAGUUUUCCUAGUGA
Molecule: RNA transcript, 5830 nt
Organism: Oncorhynchus keta (chum salmon)
Lineage: Eukaryota; Metazoa; Chordata; Actinopteri; Salmoniformes; Salmonidae
Gene name: THO complex subunit 2-like
Exons: 39
Source: RefSeq, a predicted model, not a curated record